Lepus europaeus (European hare) is the source of this 1524-nucleotide long non-coding RNA. RefSeq lists it as uncharacterized. NCBI's taxonomy places the organism in Eukaryota, Metazoa, Chordata, Mammalia, Lagomorpha, Leporidae. The transcript has 5 exons. The record is from RefSeq and is a predicted model, not a curated record.
CCUCACCAGAGCGGCCGCCGCGGGCCAGAAGCGGGAGACAGGGCGGCGCUCCUGGGCGAGGUUAUCAGCUGACAAUGGGAGCACGCCUAUUCGACAGCUUCUGGAACAUUUCCUCCAGCAACUCCAGAUAUAUCCAUGGCUGUCUCCAAGGAGCCCACUCUGGGGGACAUGUGAGGUGCCAUCUUUCUUUUCUGAGGGGUCAUCCCCGCCCACUCCCCUGCGAGCUGUGGAGCAGACACCUUCUCCCAUCCCGACCGUGGGUAGACAGCCAUCAUGGACCGUGGGAGACAGGGUUCAAAGGCAUAGAGCAGAGCAGGAGGGCUUCAGACCCCUCCAUUCUGCCCACCCGGACACAGGAAGGCCAUGAGGAGUGUCAGGGAUGCCGUGGACAUGUGUGUCAAGGCCAGAGCCACAACACUCUUGGUGGACCUUCUACUGUAGCCAAGAUACCUGUCCCUCUCUUAAAGGUUCAUCUGUGUUCAGUAGAGAUUCUUUUUCGUGGAUAUUUUACUUUUCCUGAGAUGGAUGUGAGUGGUCCUGGAUAUUCAACGAUAAUCAAACCCCCGAUGGACUGUGCAACACAGAGAGACAAGACCCUGCCUGAGUACAAGUGAGUCACAGCGUUCAAGGGAGACAUGUGAUAACACGGCAGUGCACAGCAGCCGAGAAGAUUCUGCCAGCAGCUUUACGGUGGGGAGUGAGUGACGGACCCGCUGAUGGUGGCCCGGUGAAUUCUCGUCUGUGGUAGCUGCUGAAGUUUGAGCCUGGAGGGACCACCUACAGCCUGACAGCACUGUGGGCGAAGCAGAUGCUGGCGCCGGUGGAGCCCGUGGCAGACGAAGCUCAAUGCGGGGUCUACUCGGCCCUUGCAGCAGGUGGAGCUGUGCAGAAUAUGGGUAUUCAUUCACAUUCUGUGCACACAAACACAUACAUGCACAGACGUGCACAUACAUGUGCACACACAUGUACAUGCACACACGUGCACGCACACACACUCGGUCUAGAAGGAAAACCAUAUGAUGCUGUGUUCUCACCCACUCAAGACCAGGUUGUCAUCCCACACCGAGACCUCCCACUCCCACACCACCCUGGGGCCACCCUCUCUCACUGACUCUGCUGUCUGCUGCCUGUCCACCAACACCCUGCUUGUCCUGUCCCUGCUGAUGCCAUGGGAGCAUUGUGCCUGCCGUGCUCGCUCCCACGUGCAGGCUGGGGUCCCCCCCCACCGUGAAGGUGUCUCCCUCAUGCUCACACCCAACCCCCCACACGACAUGCGUACCCUGUCUUCUUCCCUGGAGGAGUGGAGGUUGGCAUUGGCUGCAUGUGGGUUUCUGAUGGAGAAGCAGCCUCAGGCUGCCCAGUACUGGUGGCCCGCUCAUUGGCCGGCCAUCACAGCCAUCGCAUCUUGUUCAGGCUCACACACAACUCUUUGUGCACUGCUUUGACAAGGGGCCAGGAGGAACCUGCACCAUUGCUUCACCUGCCGUAGGUUCCAGGGACUGUGAAGAGGGCCUCUUCAGCAUG